CCUACGGGCGGCAGCAGUGGGGAAUAUUGCGCAAUGGGCGAAAGCCUGACGCAGCGACGCCGCGUGAGGGAUGAAGGUCUUCGGAUCGUAAACCUCUGUCAGCAGGGAAGAACGGUCACUGUGCUAAUCAGCAGUGCAUUGACGGUACCUGCAAAGGAAGCACCGGCUAACUCCGUGCCAGCAGCCGCGGUAAUACGGAGGGUGCGAGCGUUAAUCGGAAUUACUGGGCGUAAAGCGCUCGUAGGCGGUAUGUCAAGUCAAGGGUGAAAUCCCCGCGCUAAACGUGGGAACUGCCUUUGGGACUGGCAAACUGGAGUGUGUGAGAGGGUAGUGGAAUUCCAGGUGUAGGAGUGAAAUCCGUAGAUAUCUGGAGGAACAUCAGUGGCGAAGGCGACUAUCUGGCACAUAACUGACGCUGAGGAGCGAAAGCGUGGGUAGCAAACAGGAUUAGAUACCCGUGUAGUC
This 465-nucleotide ribosomal RNA is filed under the name uncultured bacterium. Its description in RNAcentral is "partial 16S ribosomal RNA". It matches the Rfam family "Bacterial small subunit ribosomal RNA", at positions 338 to 795 of the family's 1533-position model. The record is from RNAcentral.